UUGUGUAUCAGUACAUGGCAUAUCAAUAAGCGGAGGAAAAGAAGCUAACAAGGAUUCCCUUAGUAACGGCGAGUGAAGCGGGAAGAGCUCAAAUUUGAAAUCUUCAAGGUUUUACCUUGACGAAUUGUAGUUUAAAGAAGUGUUUUCUGUUGAAGUUUUGGUAAAAGUUCUUUGGAAUAGGACAUCAUAGAGGGUGAGAAUCCCGUAUUUGACCAUUAUUUUCAGCUGUGUGAUACACUUUCAAAGAGUCGGAUUGUUUGGGAAUGCAGUCCAAAAUGGGUGGUAAAUUUCAUCUAAAGCUAAAUAUUGGCGAGAGACCGAUAGCGAACAAGUACCGUGAGGGAAAGAUGAAAAGAACUUUGAAAAGAGAGUUAAACAGUACGUGAAAUUGUCAAAAGGGAAGCGUUUGACACCAGUGUUGUUUUCUCGAAAAUCAAUUAAAAAAGGCCGGAUUUUGUGUUGUAUUGACCUUAAAAGCUUUCUUCACUCUUUUCUUGUCUUUUUUAAUGCACUUUUCGUUUAACAAGUCAACAUCAGUUUCUUUUGUUGUAAAAGGGUCAUUGGAAGGUGGCUUUCUUUUCGGAGAAAGUGUUUAUAGCCUUUGGCUUCUGCAAUCGGAGAGAUUGAGGUCUGCAGCGUAGAUCCUUCGGGGUUAGAUACAUUUGUGCUAAGUUAUAGCCUUUCAUAGACAACUUGUUGACUAUGAUUCAGUCAUGUAGCUUACUCGCUUAUGUCAUUUUACCUACGCUUAGGAUGUUGACAGCAGUAUAGACUGU
This 776-nucleotide ribosomal RNA is filed under the name uncultured Neocallimastigales. Its description in RNAcentral is "partial large subunit ribosomal RNA". It matches the Rfam family "Eukaryotic large subunit ribosomal RNA", at positions 22 to 632 of the family's 3401-position model. The record is from RNAcentral. Lineage: Eukaryota; Fungi; Neocallimastigomycota; Neocallimastigomycetes; Neocallimastigales.